GUGGGAAAGAAGAGGGAGCGCCUGACAGAAGUCCUGGCUUUACAUCUCGGGUUGGUCACUAAGCAGCAGUGUUGCCUGAAACACAUAAUUAUUCCAGAGUUGUCCCCCCGAAAAGUAUUUCCAGCCAAAAUACUACUGUUUUGAAGAACCUUUGCUUCUACAAUGAAAAGAAUUUUGGAGAAUUAGUUUAAGUAUCUUCAAAAUCAACAUUUUGGACUGGUCAGACACUAUGAACAUCGUCAUCUUUUCAAAUGCAUCUUUAACUGCCAAGUGAAAGGACAUUGUGAUCUGAAUAUUGUUUUCAAAGACAGUUCUGCACCUAUCAAAGCCAUCCAAAGGAAAACAAAACAAAACAAAAAAGCACAUCACAACUUGGAGAAUGGAAAAGCAAAGAACUCAGGCGAAGAAUCUAUUUCCCUGAAACUACAAUGCUCUGAAGUCGGAACUUCAGCUUCACUCUUGGCUAACAAAUGCUCCCUCUACAUCCAAACUAGCACUGCCAAAUCAUUAAUUGUAAAAUGUUAAGCAAACCUUCAGCCAUAAAAGGAGGCUCUAAGGAAUAGUUUUGAAGAGAAAGUAAAGGAAAGGUUUUGCUUUACUCUUGCCAGAAUAUUCAACCCUUGCAUUUUCCUUACCUCAAAAGCCAAACCUGCAAGCUGACUCUGAUGCACCAACAUUUGAUACUGUGUGAAAGGACACUUAUGUAUGAAA
This is a long non-coding RNA of Molossus molossus (Pallas's mastiff bat), 711 nucleotides long. RefSeq lists it as uncharacterized. The record is from RefSeq and is a predicted model, not a curated record. The transcript is spliced from 3 exons. Lineage: Eukaryota; Metazoa; Chordata; Mammalia; Chiroptera; Molossidae.